GACGAACGCUGGCGGCGUGCUUAACACAUGCAAGUCGAACGGAAAGGCCCUGCUUGCCGGGUACUCGAGUGGCGAACGGGUGAGUAACACGUGGGUGAUCUGCCCUGCACUUCGGGAUAAGCCUGGGAAACUGGGUCUAAUACCGGAUAGGAGCCAUUUUUAGUGUGAUGGUUGGAAAGUUUUUUCGGUGUAGGAUGAGCUCGCGGCCUAUCAGCUUGUUGGUGGGGUAAUGGCCUACCAAGGCGGCGACGGGUAGCCGGCCUGUGAGGGUGGACGGCCACAGUGGGACUGAGAGACGGCCCAGACUCCUACGGGAGGCAGCAGUGGGGAAUAUUGCACAAUGGGCGCAAGCCUGAUGCAGCGGCGCCGCGUGGGGGAUGACGGCCUUCGGGUUGUAAACUCCUUUCGCUAGGGACGAAGCUUUUUGUGACGGUACCUAGAUAAGAAGCACCGGCUAACUACGUG
Molecule: ribosomal RNA, 465 nt
Filed under: uncultured bacterium
Lineage: Bacteria
Description: partial 16S ribosomal RNA
Rfam family: Bacterial small subunit ribosomal RNA
Source: RNAcentral